This 443-nucleotide ribosomal RNA is filed under the name uncultured bacterium. RNAcentral's name for it is "partial 16S ribosomal RNA". It matches the Rfam family "Bacterial small subunit ribosomal RNA", at positions 338 to 795 of the family's 1533-position model. The record is from RNAcentral.
CCUACGGGAGGCAGCAGUGGGGGAUAUUGGACAAUGGGGGGAACCCUGAUCCAGCGACGCCGCGUGAGUGAAGAAGUAUUUCGGUAUGUAAAGCUCUGUCAGCAGGGAAGAAAGAAAUGACGGUACCUGACCAAGAAGCCCCGGCUAACUACGUGCCAGCAGCCGCGGUAAUACGUAGGGGGCAAGCGUUAUCCGGAAUUACUGGGUGUAAAGGGAGCGUAGACGGUUAAGUAAGUCUGGAGUGAAAGGCCGGGGCCCAACCCCGGGACUGCUCUGGAAACUAGUGAACUUGAGUGCAGGGGAGGUAAGCGGAAUUCCUAGUGUAGCGGUGAAAUGCGUAGAUAUUAGGAGGAACACCAGUGGCGAAGGCGGCUUACUGGACUGUAACUGACGUUGAGGCUCGAAAGCGUGGGGAGCAAACAGGAUUAGAUACCCUAGUAGUC